GGAGCCUGAGAAACGGCUACCAUAUCCAAGGAUGGCAGCAGGCGCGCAAAUUACCCAAUCCCGACACGGGGAGGUAGUGACAAUAAAUAACAAUACGGGGUUCUUUAGGAUCUCGUAAUUGGAAUGAGUACAAUUUAAAUCUCUUAACGAGGAACAAUUGGAGGGCAAGUCUGGUGCCAGCAGCCGCGGUAAUUCCAGCUCCAAUAGCGUAUANNNAAGUUGUUGCAGUUAAAAAGCUCGUAGUUGAAUUCCGGGGUUAGUAGGUUGGUCAUGCCUCUGGUAUGUACUGGUCUCACUGAUUCCUCCUUCCUUAUGAACCGUAAUGCCAUUAAUUUGGUGUUGCGGGAAUUUGGACUGUUACUUUGAAAAAAUUAGAGUGUUUAAAGCAAGCUAACGCUUGAAUACAUUAGCAUGGAAUAAUGAAAUAGGACGUUCGAUCUUAUUUUGUUGGUUUCUAGGAUUGACGUAAUGAUUAAUAGGGAUAGUUGGGGGCAUUAGUAUUCAAUUGUCAGAGGUGAAAUUCUUGGAUUUAUUGAAGACUAACUACUGCGAAAGCAUUUGCCAAGGAUGUUUUCAUUAAUCAAGAACGAAAGUUAGGGGAUCGAAGACGAUCAGAUACCGUCGUAGUCUUAACCAUAAACUAUGCCGACUAGGGAUCGGAUGAUGUUAAUUUUUUAAUGACUCAUUCGGCGCCUUACG
RNAcentral lists this ribosomal RNA (699 nucleotides) under uncultured fungus. RNAcentral's name for it is "SSU rRNA". It matches the Rfam family "Eukaryotic small subunit ribosomal RNA", at positions 391 to 1092 of the family's 1831-position model. The record is from RNAcentral. Lineage: Eukaryota; Fungi.